CUAAUUUUUGUUGUUUCAGUGGUUGCAGGACAUUUUGCAUUUUUUUUUUAAUUAUUGUCUAUGAUUUUGAUUUUGAUUUUGAUAUAUUACUAUUGUUAAGGGCUUUUUGCAUCUUUUAUUUUAGUUGUUAUUGCCGAUAGUUAUAUUUACUUUUUUUCUUGGUAUCAACUCAAAACAUUCCCUUGUUUGUGUUGUAUAGUCGAGGGUAUUUUUAAUUAUGUCGUUGCCAAAUCAAUAAUGUUAUUGGUGACAUUUUUUUCCUACAGAAGCAAAAUAUCGAAGAAAUGAGUUGUAACCAAUAAACAAAUCAAUGAAAAUGGCUACAGGUUUGCACCUAAAUAAAGAUUUGUAUUUUGUUUUAAAUUUUAUUUUGGGCCAAAUUAUAGGAAUAUAAUUUGUAGAUUAUACAUUAUUUGUAUAGUCAACUAGCUUAAUGAGAAAGUUUGAUUUUUCAGCUAACGUUAAUGUUUAAUUGUGAUGUCUCAAGGCCUUUUGUUAAGAUGAUGUUAUAAAAGCUUUGCUUAUGGAAUUUUUCAGAUGCAGUGUAUUUGUGGACUCUAUCUCUCCAUAAAAAUGAGAUUCAUUCCGAAUAAAUAUCUUUCAACGAGCAAGGUUGAUCUACUAUGUAUCUUUCUACUUCUCAGAAAUAUUUGACGAAAGUUAGUGUUUCAGAAGCAAAAAAAUCUGUGGACUAUGGUAUGUGGAAAUUUAUAUGCGUAUUGACUACUCGAUUUCUUCUACUGUAAGAAAUUUUCAAAUCAUGGUCUUAAUUAUGGCAUUGAUAUGCAACUUUUGUUGUAGGGGGCUAAAAUAUUUCACAAAUCAUCGACAUCAUUUUGACAAGCUUGUGGAAGCUUCCUUUUCUUCAUUUGCCAAAGAUGGUGAAAGUGAUAGUUCAUGAUAAGAUGUAAAGCAGUGGGUUUUUUGUUUUAUUUCUUCCUUUCUUUUUCACUCGGCAUU
Molecule: long non-coding RNA, 960 nt
Filed under: Erythranthe guttata (spotted monkey flower)
Lineage: Eukaryota; Viridiplantae; Streptophyta; Magnoliopsida; Lamiales; Phrymaceae
Description: long non-coding RNA (EGUT_LNC003329)
Source: RNAcentral